RNAcentral lists this unclassified non-coding RNA (166 nucleotides) under uncultured Ascomycota. RNAcentral describes it as "sequence contains ITS1". Lineage: Eukaryota; Fungi; Ascomycota. The record is from RNAcentral.
CUGAGAACUUGCCCUUUGGGGUAAAUCUCCCACCCUUGUUUACGCUACCAUGUUGCUUUGGCAGGCCCGUCUUCUCGACCACUGGCUUCGGCUGGUCCGUGCCUGCCAGAGGAUUUUAAAAACCCUAUUUAUUUUGUGUUCUGAAAUUAUAUUUUCGAAUUAGUUA